This 556-nucleotide ribosomal RNA is filed under the name uncultured bacterium. RNAcentral's name for it is "partial 16S ribosomal RNA". It matches the Rfam family "Bacterial small subunit ribosomal RNA", at positions 355 to 905 of the family's 1533-position model. The record is from RNAcentral.
UGGGGAAUUUUGGACAAUGGGCGAAAGCCUGAUCCAGCAAUGCCGCGUGUGUGAAGAAGGCCUUCGGGUUGUAAAGCACUUUUGUCCGGAAAGAAAUCCUUGGCUCUAAUACAGUCGGGGGAUGACGGUACCGGAAGAAUAAGCACCGGCUAACUACGUGCCAGCAGCCGCGGUAAUACGUAGGGUGCAAGCGUUAAUCGGAAUUACUGGGCGUAAAGCGUGCGCAGGCGGUUUGCUAAGACCGAUGUGAAAUCCCCGGGCUCAACCUGGGAACUGCAUUGGUGACUGGCAGGCUAGAGUAUGGCAGAGGGGGGUAGAAUUCCACGUUAGCAGUGAAAUGCGUAGAGAUGUGGAGGAAUACCGAUGGCGAAGGCAGCCCCCUGGGCCAAUACUGACGCUCAUGCACGAAAGCGUGGGGAGCAAACAGGAUUAGAUACCCUGGUAGUCCACGCCCUAAACGAUGUCAACUAGUUGUUGGGGAUUCAUUUCCUUAGUAACGUAGCUAACGCGUGAAGUUGACCGCCUGGGGAGUACGGUCGCAAGAUUAAAACUCAAA